Molecule: ribosomal RNA, 122 nt
Filed under: Mustela putorius furo (domestic ferret)
Lineage: Eukaryota; Metazoa; Chordata; Mammalia; Carnivora; Mustelidae
Source: RNAcentral
GUCUACGGCCAUACCACCCUGAACGCGCCCGAUCUCAUCUGAUCUCGGAAGCUAAGCAGGGUCGGGCCUGGUUAGUACUUGGAUGGGAGACAUUAUGAGCUGAAAGCCAUGUUCCUUUUACC